CAAGAAGUAGUUUAAUAAGAAUUUCAGCUUUGGGUGCUGACGGUGGGGGUUAAGCCUUCCUUCUUGA
Non-coding RNA from Cricetulus griseus (Chinese hamster), 67 nucleotides. The record is from Ensembl. Lineage: Eukaryota; Metazoa; Chordata; Mammalia; Rodentia; Cricetidae.